AACGAACGCUGGCGGCAGGCUUAACACAUGCAAGUCGAGCGCAUCCUUCGGGGUGAGCGGCAGACGGGUGCGUAACGCGUGGGAAUCUACCUUUUGCUACGGAAUAGCUCCGGGAAACUGGAAUUAAUACCGUAUGUGCCCUUAGGGGGAAAGAUUUAUCGGCAAGAGAUGAGCCCGCGUUGGAUUAGCUAGUUGGUGGGGUAAAGGCCUACCAAGGCGACGAUCCAUAGCUGGUCUGAGAGGAUGAUCAGCCACAUUGGGACUGAGACACGGCCCAAACUCCUACGGGAGGCAGCAGUGGGGAAUAUUGGACAAUGGGCGCAAGCCUGAUCCAGCCAUGCCGCGUGAGUGAUGAAGGCCUUAGGGUUGUAAAGCUCUUUCACCGGAGAAGAUAAUGACGGUAUCCGGAGAAGAAGCCCCGGCUAACUUCGUG
RNAcentral lists this ribosomal RNA (433 nucleotides) under uncultured bacterium. Its description in RNAcentral is "partial 16S ribosomal RNA". It matches the Rfam family "Bacterial small subunit ribosomal RNA", at positions 29 to 507 of the family's 1533-position model. The record is from RNAcentral.